CCAAGACCUGCACCUUGGAAUCUCAUUCCCGCCCUUCUUCCCUGGCUACGAUGGGGCUGACUCUUCAGCUCAGUGUCAUCUGGGAACUUGAUGGAAAUGCUCUUUCCUUGGCUCGGCUGCCAGCGAUGAUGCUGAUUCAGUGGGUGGGGGUGGAGAGAGGAGCCGGUGGCCGGGUUGUUUUAACAUGCCCGUGUGAAGCUGCCCAUGCAAGUGGCUGCAGAGGACAUCCAGAACACAGCCUUAUUGUCUCACCACCUCUGCUAAAUACCCGUCUCGGUUUCUACCGCUCUGAAAAGCGGAGGAAAGGAGGUCCAAUGGACGGCGGGUGAACAUGAGCCCACAGAAACCAGGGCAAGGUUCGCAACCUGCCCAUGGAAAAGAAAUACCGGACUAAUUGCCAAACUGAAAGCAGACUACUCGUGCAGGUAGAAACGGCCGCAGCAGUUUCCACUCUCGGGGACAAGAUACUUGUCCCAGCAGUGAGUGAAGUGACAAGACACUGUGCACAGCUGUAGGAAGAGACUCGGUAAUGUGGUCUGCAUGUCCAUUUCUCUCUAUUAAAAGGCAUGUGACCUAGGCACCCUUUCAGUUUGAUCAUGGAGGAUGUCUGUUAGUUACCUUUGAGGCGCCCAGACUCUUGGGGGAGGGGGAAGUGAGGUGGCCCAUGUACCCUUUUUCUAUUUCCUAGGAAGCCAGAGAACAGAAACCAAUCCAGGAUUUGCUGAUUUGGAUCUAGAAUGUUCCCCAAACCCAUGUGCUGAUUAAUGGCUUGGUCCCCAGCCUCUGAUAAUUGGGAGGAUUUAGAACUUUUAGAAGUGGCCAGAAGUGAGUGGUUAACCCUGCCACACACUUCUACCAUGGUGAGCUGCUUUAACACAGGACAAAGGCAACAGAGCAGAGUGAAGACUGACUGAAACCUCCAGAGCCAGCAAAGUGAACCGUCACACUGGCUUGCACGUGUGUAGAACGAAAGGGGACACACCUCUCCACACUUGCAUGCAAGUCAGUUCAAGAUGGACCAAAGAUCGGGAUGUAAGACCUGAACUCUGACCUGCUACCUCUGACCUAAGGAAAAUACUUCUACAUGCAGCUCUAGACAAGGACUUUCUGAAAAGUCCUCCUAACAGCACAGGAAACAAUUGGCAAAAGCAAUUACACUAAAGGGCUGGAUGGCAAAGGAAACCACGAGCAGGCAAAGAGACCAUCUAUACAACAGGGGCAGUCUUUGCCAAUUAUUUACCACAAAGGAGCUACCACCUGGAUUCUAGAAAAAGCUCCAGCAAAAAACAACCGCACAACAACUCAAAAUCAUUAAUUCAUUAAAUAGACCAACGAGUGGAAUAGACAGUCCUCAAAAGGAGAAAUACAAAUGAUGGGCUGGGGACAGGUCAGUGACUGGGACUUCCAGCCGCUCUAGCAUGAAGGCCUGAGCUUGGAUCCCUAGCACCCAUGUGGAAUAAGAAAGGGUGGUGGGGAGUAAGGCAGGGCUGGGGAUUAUGAGGGCAUAUUGCUCUUGCAGAAGGUAUGCAGUACCACGUGGGGGUGGGGGGCUCAUCACCCCCUGAAGCUCUGGUUCAGGGUGAGGGAGAGAGCUGAAUCUACCCUCUGCUGGACUCUGAUGCACUGCUCUCGUGUACACACACACACACACACACACACACACACACACACACACACACGCACGCUCCAGUGCACACACACACACACAUACAUAACAAAAAAUAAAUAUAUCUUAAUAAAAAGAACUCAUGCUGCCAUAUAUGUGUCAUGAGAGCAAAGAGGAGACAUCGGAGGGAGGAAACAGGUCUUGCAAGAGGGGAGAGGGGAAGGGGAGGGUCAAUACAGACCAAGCACGGCCAUGAGCAUUGUGAGGAUACCAUGAUGGACCUAUCACUUUGUGUAACUUUAAAGAAAUGUUUUUUAUUUGAAAAUAAACAUACAAUCUUUCUUGCUCUUGA
This is a long non-coding RNA of Mastomys coucha (southern multimammate mouse), 1958 nucleotides long. RefSeq lists it as uncharacterized. The transcript has 3 exons. The record is from RefSeq and is a predicted model, not a curated record. Lineage: Eukaryota; Metazoa; Chordata; Mammalia; Rodentia; Muridae.